CGUGCGCAAGUCGCAGGGCAGUACGAAACCCGGAGGCGAAAUGAAAGUGAAGGCCUGCCUCGCGCAGGCCGGGUGGGAUCCCGCGGAGAGGCAACUCUCGACGGGCGCACCACCGGCCCGUCUCGGCCGCGUCGUCGGCGAGGCGGAGCAAGAGCGUACUUGUUGGGACCCGAAAGAUGGUGAACUAUGCCUGAGCAGGACGAANCCAGAGGAAACUCUGGUGGAGGUCCGUAGCGAUUCUGACGUGCAAAUCGAUCGUCUGAYUUGGGUAUAGGGGCGAAAGACUAAUCGAACYAU
Molecule: ribosomal RNA, 297 nt
Filed under: Erpobdella costata
Lineage: Eukaryota; Metazoa; Annelida; Clitellata; Hirudinida; Erpobdellidae
Description: partial 28S ribosomal RNA
Rfam family: Eukaryotic large subunit ribosomal RNA
Source: RNAcentral